RNAcentral lists this ribosomal RNA (2920 nucleotides) under Bacillus cereus 03BB102. RNAcentral's name for it is "bacterial LSU rRNA". It matches the Rfam family "Bacterial large subunit ribosomal RNA". The record is from RNAcentral. Lineage: Bacteria; Bacillati; Bacillota; Bacilli; Caryophanales; Bacillaceae.
UUAAGUUAGAAAGGGCGCACGGUGGAUGCCUUGACACUAGGAGUCGAUGGAGGACGGGACUAACGCCGAUGUGCUUCGGGGAGCUGUAAGUAAGCUUUGAUCCGAAGAUUUCCGAAUGGGGAAACCCACCAUACGUAAUGGUAUGGUAUCCUUAUCUGAAUACAUAGGGUAAGGAAGACAGACCCAGGGAACUGAAACAUCUAAGUACCUGGAGGAAGAGAAAGCAAAUGCGAUUUCCUGAGUAGCGGCGAGCGAAACGGAACAUAGCCCAAACCAAGAGGCUUGCCUCUUGGGGUUGUAGGACAUUCUAUACGGAGUUACAAAGGAACGAGGUAGACGAAGCGACCUGGAAAGGUCCGUCGUAGAGGGUAACAACCCCGUAGUCGAAACUUCGUUCUCUCUUGAAUGUAUCCUGAGUACGGCGGAACACGUGAAAUUCCGUCGGAAUCUGGGAGGACCAUCUCCCAAGGCUAAAUACUCCCUAGUGAUCGAUAGUGAACCAGUACCGUGAGGGAAAGGUGAAAAGCACCCCGGAAGGGGAGUGAAAGAGAUCCUGAAACCGUGUGCCUACAAAUAGUCAGAGCCCGUUAACGGGUGAUGGCGUGCCUUUUGUAGAAUGAACCGGCGAGUUACGAUCCCGUGCGAGGUUAAGCUGAAGAGGCGGAGCCGCAGCGAAAGCGAGUCUGAAUAGGGCGUUUAGUACGUGGUCGUAGACCCGAAACCAGGUGAUCUACCCAUGUCCAGGGUGAAGUUCAGGUAACACUGAAUGGAGGCCCGAACCCACGCACGUUGAAAAGUGCGGGGAUGAGGUGUGGGUAGCGGAGAAAUUCCAAUCGAACCUGGAGAUAGCUGGUUCUCCCCGAAAUAGCUUUAGGGCUAGCCUUAAGUGUAAGAGUCUUGGAGGUAGAGCACUGAUUGGACUAGGGGUCCUCAUCGGAUUACCGAAUUCAGUCAAACUCCGAAUGCCAAUGACUUAUCCUUAGGAGUCAGACUGCGAGUGAUAAGAUCCGUAGUCAAAAGGGAAACAGCCCAGACCGCCAGCUAAGGUCCCAAAGUGUGUAUUAAGUGGAAAAGGAUGUGGAGUUGCUUAGACAACUAGGAUGUUGGCUUAGAAGCAGCCACCAUUUAAAGAGUGCGUAAUAGCUCACUAGUCGAGUGACUCUGCGCCGAAAAUGUACCGGGGCUAAAUACACCACCGAAGCUGCGGAUUGAUACCAAUGGUAUCAGUGGUAGGGGAGCGUUCUAAGGACAGUGAAGUCAGACCGGAAGGACUGGUGGAGUGCUUAGAAGUGAGAAUGCCGGUAUGAGUAGCGAAAGACGGGUGAGAAUCCCGUCCACCGAAUGCCUAAGGUUUCCUGAGGAAGGCUCGUCCGCUCAGGGUUAGUCAGGACCUAAGCCGAGGCCGACAGGCGUAGGCGAUGGACAACAGGUUGAUAUUCCUGUACCACCUCUUUAUCGUUUGAGCAAUGGAGGGACGCAGAAGGAUAGAAGAAGCGUGCGAUUGGUUGUGCACGUCCAAGCAGUUAGGCUGAUAAGUAGGCAAAUCCGCUUAUCGUGAAGGCUGAGCUGUGAUGGGGAAGCUCCUUAUGGAGCGAAGUCUUUGAUUCCCCGCUGCCAAGAAAAGCUUCUAGCGAGAUAAAAGGUGCCUGUACCGCAAACCGACACAGGUAGGCGAGGAGAGAAUCCUAAGGUGUGCGAGAGAACUCUGGUUAAGGAACUCGGCAAAAUGACCCCGUAACUUCGGGAGAAGGGGUGCUUUCUUAACGGAAAGCCGCAGUGAAUAGGCCCAAGCGACUGUUUAGCAAAAACACAGCUCUCUGCGAAGCCGUAAGGCGAAGUAUAGGGGGUGACACCUGCCCGGUGCUGGAAGGUUAAGGAGAGGGGUUAGCGUAAGCGAAGCUCUGAACUGAAGCCCCAGUAAACGGCGGCCGUAACUAUAACGGUCCUAAGGUAGCGAAAUUCCUUGUCGGGUAAGUUCCGACCCGCACGAAAGGUGUAACGAUUUGGGCACUGUCUCAACCAGAGACUCGGUGAAAUUAUAGUACCUGUGAAGAUGCAGGUUACCCGCGACAGGACGGAAAGACCCCGUGGAGCUUUACUGUAGCCUGAUAUUGAAUUUUGGUACAGUUUGUACAGGAUAGGCGGGAGCCUUUGAAACCGGAGCGCUAGCUUCGGUGGAGGCGCUGGUGGGAUACCGCCCUGACUGUAUUGAAAUUCUAACCUACGGGUCUUAUCGACCCGGGAGACAGUGUCAGGUGGGCAGUUUGACUGGGGCGGUCGCCUCCUAAAGUGUAACGGAGGCGCCCAAAGGUUCCCUCAGAAUGGUUGGAAAUCAUUCGUAGAGUGCAAAGGCAUAAGGGAGCUUGACUGCGAGACCUACAAGUCGAGCAGGGACGAAAGUCGGGCUUAGUGAUCCGGUGGUUCCGCAUGGAAGGGCCAUCGCUCAACGGAUAAAAGCUACCCCGGGGAUAACAGGCUUAUCUCCCCCAAGAGUCCACAUCGACGGGGAGGUUUGGCACCUCGAUGUCGGCUCAUCGCAUCCUGGGGCUGUAGUCGGUCCCAAGGGUUGGGCUGUUCGCCCAUUAAAGCGGUACGCGAGCUGGGUUCAGAACGUCGUGAGACAGUUCGGUCCCUAUCCGUCGUGGGCGUAGGAAAUUUGAGAGGAGCUGUCCUUAGUACGAGAGGACCGGGAUGGACGCACCGCUGGUGUACCAGUUGUUCUGCCAAGGGCAUAGCUGGGUAGCUAUGUGCGGAAGGGAUAAGUGCUGAAAGCAUCUAAGCAUGAAGCCCCCCUCAAGAUGAGAUUUCCCAUAGCGUAAGCUAGUAAGAUCCCUGAAAGAUGAUCAGGUUGAUAGGUUCGAGGUGGAAGCAUGGUGACAUGUGGAGCUGACGAAUACUAAUAGAUCGAGGACUUAACCAU